RNAcentral lists this ribosomal RNA (161 nucleotides) under uncultured bacterium. Its description in RNAcentral is "partial 16S rRNA". It matches the Rfam family "Bacterial small subunit ribosomal RNA", at positions 358 to 511 of the family's 1533-position model. The record is from RNAcentral.
GGAAUCUUCGGCAAUGGACGAAAGUCUGACCGAGCAACGCCGCGUGAGUGAAGAAGGUUUUCGGAUCGUAAAACUCUGUUGUUAGAGAAGAACAAGGGUGAGAGUAACUGUUCACCCCUUGACGGUAUCUAACCAGAAAGCCACGGCUAACUACGUACCAG